UUUACCUACGGGAGGCAGCAGUGGGGAAUAUUGCACAAUGGGGGAAACCCUGAUGCAGCGACGCCGCGUGAGCGAUGAAGUAUUUCGGUAUGUAAAGCUCUAUCAGCAGGGAAGAAAAUGACGGUACCUGACUAAGAAGCCCCGGCUAACUACGUGCCAGCAGCCGCGGUAAUACGUAGGGGGCAAGCGUUAUCCGGAUUUACUGGGUGUAAAGGGAGCGUAGACGGCUGUGCAAGCCAGAUGUGAAAGCCCGGGGCUCAACCCCGGGACGGCAUUUGGAACUGUGUGGCUG
This 292-nucleotide ribosomal RNA is filed under the name uncultured bacterium. Its description in RNAcentral is "partial 16S ribosomal RNA". It matches the Rfam family "Bacterial small subunit ribosomal RNA", at positions 334 to 643 of the family's 1533-position model. The record is from RNAcentral.